Molecule: unclassified non-coding RNA, 328 nt
Filed under: Hevea brasiliensis (rubber tree)
Lineage: Eukaryota; Viridiplantae; Streptophyta; Magnoliopsida; Malpighiales; Euphorbiaceae
Source: RNAcentral
AAUUCAGGUUACAGAAUUCACGAUAAAAGAUGCUUACUCACUGAAGUUUUUUGAAAACAACACGAAUCGGUUGCCUAUGUGGUGCAAUGCGGAUGACACAGUGAAGCUUCCUUUCUGUCAAAUUCUAGGGAAGUACCGGAUGGAAUUGCCUGGAUACAAUACAAUGGAUGUAUACGCCCAUAUGAAUGAAAAGUGCCCAUCAAUGCCUCCAAAAUACUACAGGCCACAAAGUUGUUGACAAUGAUUUUUAUGGCCAGCUAUCUUACUGUAGUAAGGUAUGUACAAGGAUGGUUGUUCCAAUGCUUUACAGGUUAGUGUGACAAUUGUG